RNAcentral lists this long non-coding RNA (397 nucleotides) under Zostera marina. RNAcentral describes it as "long non-coding RNA (ZMAR_LNC004644)". Lineage: Eukaryota; Viridiplantae; Streptophyta; Magnoliopsida; Alismatales; Zosteraceae. The record is from RNAcentral.
UGACAUAAUUCUUAGUUUUAUUGUGAAAUUUAUAUACAUGCAUGCAUUAUGUUUUGUACUAUUCAUGAUGUAAAUUUUAAGCUUACAGGCUCACAGCUGUGUUUUCCUUCCCUCAUACUGUUCGACGAACUACUCACAUCAACCGACUAUGAUAAUCUAGUUUAUGCAUAUCGAUUUUAGACUAUUCAUGAUGUAUUUUGGCUGCCUAAAUGUCUGUUGUCCUACAAUUAACAAAGUACGUAUUUAUAGUGAAGAUGAAAAGAAUCGUGUCCAUAUACAUCGAUCAAAACUAUUUGGGGAAAGUUUAUACAUUUAUCACAUAUGGUUACCUUAUCAAUUAAUUCCAAUUAAUUAACGAAAAAAGAUUGGACCUUUUUGAUAUUUCUUAUCUAAAUAU